CAGUCGCCGCGGGAACACAGAGGGUGCGAGCGUUAAUCGGAUUUACUGGGCGUAAAGCGUGCGUAGGCGGCUUCUUAAGUCGGAUGUGAAAUCCCUGAGCUUAACUUAGGAAUUGCAUUCGAUACUGGGAAGCUAGAGUAUGGGAGAGUAUGGUAGAAUUCCAGGUGUAGCGGUGAAAUGCGUAGAGAUCUGGAGGAAUACCGAUGGCGAAGGCAGCCAUCUGGCCUAAUACUGACGCUGAGGUACGAAAGCAUGGGGAGCAAACAGGAUUAGAUACCCCGGUAGUCCCUGUCUCUUAUAC
RNAcentral lists this ribosomal RNA (301 nucleotides) under uncultured bacterium. RNAcentral describes it as "partial 16S ribosomal RNA". It matches the Rfam family "Bacterial small subunit ribosomal RNA", at positions 509 to 807 of the family's 1533-position model. The record is from RNAcentral.